GUUGGGGUUUGGCUCUUCAGAAGAAACACUCACUUCCCUCCGUCUCCACCUUAACAGAACUCACUUCCCUCCAUCAUCGACCAUUGCCGCCAUAGGCCUUGCCACCGCUGACAGCCGCUGUCUGUCGUCCUACACUCAUUCAAACUGCAUUUCUAUUCUUCCACCUCAGAUUUGCGUUGAUAUCUCGGAUUCACCGUUGCCAAGGUCUUUCAGUUCCAGAGCCACCGUUGCUACGCCAUCCUCAGAUCUACUCUUUCGAUUGAAAUUGCCUCCGACUUGUAGCUAUGGACUCGGGAAUUCAGAACUUGAGGAACCAGGAGGUCGAAAGCGGUAGAGAUCAUCAUCACAAUUGUUCGUCGUUUUCGUGAUAGAGUGCUAGCCAUCGUCAUCCACUUCUUCUUGCACAUUGAUGAGUUAGAUCUGAAUAUAAAGAAGUAUCUCAGAGGAGAAGCUACUUCUUUUGAUAUAUAUAGUAUUAUUCUGGUUUCUAGAAUCAAUACGUUGGCAUCCAAUUAUAUUAUCUCUUAAUCUUAAUUUGCAGAAUUUGAAAGAUAGAAAUCUCAAGCAUCAGCUAUCUGUCAGAGAAGAAUUAUAUGGCAAUGCUACAAAAGCUGCUGCCAAGGCAAAAAAGAUCACAACAUUUAAUAUCUCAUUAGUUGUCCAUGGAACCAUUGUGAAAAAUGAUGAUUUUCAUAAGGAAGAAUCCAACCCAUAUGUUGUUCCCAUUAGCAUAGGCAUCUUCAGAGUCUUGGUUAGUCCUUUAGGGAUAACAACCAUUACAAUGAUUAGAAGGAUUGUAUCAAAUCACGAGGCAUUCCAGAAACGGAAUAAAAAGAAAUGGGAGAGUGAGAAGAGAUAGUACGACAGUAAGACUCAUGUCCAUGAAGACUGAAUGAUUUCUAUUGUUCUCGGCAUUAGACAUGGAAGCUUAGUAAAUUUGUAGGCCUUUUUUUAUUCUUUCUCUGUUAGUAAAAUGAAAUGAUAGUUCUGUACUAUUAUUCAAUUUGGACCAUAAUUGGACAUUGCGAUCU
Non-coding RNA from Arachis ipaensis, 1031 nucleotides. NCBI's taxonomy places the organism in Eukaryota, Viridiplantae, Streptophyta, Magnoliopsida, Fabales, Fabaceae. The record is from RefSeq and is a predicted model, not a curated record.